RNAcentral lists this ribosomal RNA (253 nucleotides) under uncultured bacterium. RNAcentral describes it as "partial 16S ribosomal RNA". It matches the Rfam family "Bacterial small subunit ribosomal RNA", at positions 524 to 776 of the family's 1533-position model. The record is from RNAcentral.
UACGAAGGGGGCUAGCGUUAAUCGGAAUUACUGGGCGUAAAGCGUGCGCAGGCGGUUUUGUAAGUCAGAUGUGAAAUCCCCGGGCUUAACCUGGGAACUGCGUUUGAAACUACAAGGCUAGAGUGUGGCAGAGGGGGGUGGAAUUCCACGUGUAGCAGUGAAAUGCGUAGAGAUGUGGAGGAACACCGAUGGCGAAGGCAGCCCCCUGGGUUAACACUGACGCUCAGGCACGAAAGCGUGGGGAGCGAACAGG